AUUUAUUUGAAUUAUAGACCAUUUUGACUCAGCUAUCCGAUCAUUUAAAUUUUUGAUUUUAUUAUCCGAUCUUCCAAUUUAUUUGAUUUGAGUCGGUCAACCUCACUUUGAAUUUAAAUUUUGCAUCUGUCUUUUAUCUUUACAGAUUUAGUUAGUAUACUUCAUAUAAUUCUCGCACUAAUAAAUUUAUUAAAGUAAUUAGUUUAAAUUUCGAAGUCAAAAUAUCGUUGACUAACUCAGAUAAGCAAAUUGAAAGAUUAGAUAGAAAAUCAAAAUUUUGAAAACGGUGCAAAUGUUGUAUAUUUUUACUCAAAAAAAAUUAUGA
Molecule: long non-coding RNA, 325 nt
Filed under: Ananas comosus (pineapple)
Lineage: Eukaryota; Viridiplantae; Streptophyta; Magnoliopsida; Poales; Bromeliaceae
Description: long non-coding RNA (ACOM_LNC044867)
Source: RNAcentral